RNAcentral lists this unclassified non-coding RNA (1460 nucleotides) under uncultured fungus. Its description in RNAcentral is "sequence contains 18S rRNA gene, ITS1, 5.8S rRNA gene, ITS2, 28S rRNA gene". The stretch from base 519 to 1460 matches the Rfam family "Eukaryotic large subunit ribosomal RNA", at positions 1 to 961 of the family's 3401-position model. The record is from RNAcentral. Lineage: Eukaryota; Fungi.
GGAAGGAUCAUUAUUGAAAGCUUCGGCUUCCUUUGAUGCUUAACCCUUUUGAUGUCCAUUACCUCAGUUGCUUCCACGAAUUCUUCUUGGAUUCGUGGUUGGCCUUUAAUAAAAACCUUUAUAAUUAGCUAUGUUUUGUCUGAAUAAACAAAAAAUGUUUUAAAACUUUCAACAACGGAUCUCUUGGCUCCUGCAUCGAUGAAGAACGCAGCGAAAUGCGAUAAUUAAUGUGAAUUGCAGAAUUCAGUGAAUCAUCGAGUCUUUGAACGCACAUUGCGCCCCAUGGUAUUCCGUGGGGCAUGCCUGUCUGAGCGUCAGCAACACCACUCAAGCAUAGCUUUAUUGCCUUGCUUGGACUAUAUCAGAGAAGCAGUUUGUUUACUAACCGCCCUCUGGAAAUUGAUAGAUGGUCAGGUUGUCACACUAUGCCAAACGUCAUAUGAUUUACAUCGUUCGUUUGCAUUGGUUGAUAUCUUGAUAGUCAUUGAACCCACAGUGUAUGCUGUUUUUUUCUGACUUGACCUCAGAUCAGGUAGGGAUACCCGCUGAACUUAAGCAUAUCAAUAAGCGGAGGAAAAGAAACCAACAGGGAUUGCCUCAGUAACGGCGAGUGAAGCGGCAAAAGCUCAGAUUUGAAAUCUGGCGUCUUAUGGCGUCCGAGUUGUAAUCUGUAGAGGAGUGUUCGAGCAUAGCUUUGGCUUAAGUUCCUUGGAACAGGACGUCAUGGAGGGUGAGAAUCCCGUGUACGGCCUUUGACUUGUGCUUAUGUGAACCUCCUUCAACGAGUCGAGUUGUUUGGGAAUGCAGCUCUAAAUGGGUGGUAAAUUUCAUCUAAAGCUAAAUACUGGCAGGAGACCGAUAGCGCACAAGUAGAGUGAUCGAAAGAUGAAAAGAACUUUGGAAAGAGAGUUAAAUAGUACGUGAAAUUGUUGAAAGGGAAGCACUUGCUCCCAGACUUGCCUGCAGCUGAUCAAUCACCAUUUUUGGUGGUGCACUUGGUUGUAGGCAGGCCAGCAUCAGUCCAGACGACGAGAAAAAGGUGCAGGGAAUGUGGCUCUUUUCGGAGAGUGUUAUAGCCCUGUACGUAAUGUCGCCUGCCUGGACUGAGGCCCGCGCUUCGGCGAGGAUGCUGGCGUAAUGGUCGUAAGUGACCCGUCUUGAAACACGGACCAAGGAGUCUAACAGCUGUGCGAGUGUUUGGGUGGAAAACCCUCACGCGCAAUGAAAGUGAAUGGAGGUGGGAACCGCAAGGUGCACCAUCGACCGAUCCUGAUGUCUUCGGAUGGAUUUGAGUAGGAGCAUAGCUGUUGGGACCCGAAAGAUGGUGAACUAUGCCUGAAUAGGGUGAAGCCAGAGGAAACUCUGGUGGAGGCUCGCAGCGGUUCUGACGUGCAAAUCGAUCGUCAAAUUUGGGUAUAGGGGCGAAAGACUAAUCGAACCAUCUAGUAGCUGGUUCCGGC